CCUAUGGGUGGCAGCAGUGGGGAAUAUUGGACAAUGGGCGAAAGCCUGAUCCAGCCAUGCCGCGUGUGUGAAGAAGGCCUUCGGGUUGUAAAGCACUUUCAGUGGGGAAGAAAGCCUUGGGGCUAAUACCCUCGAGGAAGGACAUCACCCACAGAAGAAGCACCGGCUAACUCCGUGCCAGCAGCCGCGGUAAUACGGAGGGUGCGAGCGUUAAUCGGAAUUACUGGGCGUAAAGCGCGCGUAGGCGGUCUGAUAAGCCGGUUGUGAAAGCCCCGGGCUCAACCUGGGAACGGCAUCCGGAACUGUCAGGCUAGAGUGCAGGAGAGGAAGGUAGAAUUCCCGGUGUAGCGGUGAAAUGCGUAGAGAUCGGGAGGAAUACCAGUGGCGAAGGCGGCCUUCUGGACUGACACUGACGCUGAGGUGCGAAAGCGUGGGUAGCAAACAGGAUUAGAUACCCCGGUAGUC
Molecule: ribosomal RNA, 465 nt
Filed under: Vreelandella stevensii
Lineage: Bacteria; Pseudomonadati; Pseudomonadota; Gammaproteobacteria; Oceanospirillales; Halomonadaceae
Description: partial 16S ribosomal RNA
Rfam family: Bacterial small subunit ribosomal RNA
Source: RNAcentral